Callorhinchus milii (elephant shark) is the source of this 667-nucleotide long non-coding RNA. RefSeq lists it as uncharacterized. The record is from RefSeq and is a predicted model, not a curated record. Lineage: Eukaryota; Metazoa; Chordata; Chondrichthyes; Chimaeriformes; Callorhinchidae. The transcript is spliced from 4 exons.
GGCAGAGAGACAAGCAGGCAGAGAGUAUGUUUGUAAGUUACAGUGUCUAAGGCAGAACAAGGAAGUUUACAUUUGCUGUUUUCCUGCACAGGAGAUCAUCAGCUUUUAGAGAGAUAGAGGCCAGAAGGCGGCAAUUCACCCCCAUCAGCAACUGGACACAGAGAGCAGCACCCGGUACAAACACUUUAUUCACUGAGACCUUGGCCCAGUAUGAUGAUUACCAACUGCACAAACUGACAGAGGACAGAUCGGGACAGAUUGGAACAGGCCAUUGAGGAAGGCGUGGAGGACAUCAGCUCAAGGCUGACACAGAAGGAAAGUUUCAGCACUCAGGAGCACAAAAAACUCAUUGAGCUCACACACACUGGGCAGAGGAGAGACAGGUUUCCGGGCCAUGAGAGUGAUGUGGGAAUCCUUUGUGGGAAAGAGGCAGACUUUGCCCAAACUGAACAAAAUUAUGACUGAAAUACACGAUAAAAGGUGCCAUUCUAGUGAAUGAGGUGACCAUUAACCGAAGUGUACCAGAAGUCCCCAGUGAUAUGAUAGGUAUGUGAUUGGGACAAGAUUCAAGCUGCCAAUCAUUUCUGAAAGAAACGGUUUGUCACUUUUCCAUUUACUGUGAGAGAAAAAGAGAAAGAGAAGGACAGAAAGAGCGAGAUCGACUGAG